Molecule: long non-coding RNA, 163 nt
Organism: Felis catus (domestic cat)
Lineage: Eukaryota; Metazoa; Chordata; Mammalia; Carnivora; Felidae
Rfam family: TTC28 antisense RNA 1 conserved region 3
Source: Rfam
UGUCACCUGAGAAUUUUCUCACAGUACGACCCUGGGAUGCUGGGAACUGACUUCACAGGCAGGACAGGAGUGAUCCUGGGCGGGACAACCAGCUGGCUGGCUGGCACGCCUUGGAGACAUGCUGCCCACUGGGGCCCAGGGGGUACCCAGGGUAGUUAGGAGG